GUUUGAUCAUGGCCCAGGAUGAACGCUGGCGGCGUGCCUAACACAUGCAAGUCGAGCGAUUCUCUUCGGAGAAGAGCGGCGGACGGGUGAGUAACGCGUGGGUAACCUGCCCUGUACACACGGAUAACAUACCGAAAGGUAUGCUAAUACGAGAUAAUAUGCUUUUAUCGCAUGGUAGAAGUAUCAAAGCUCCGGCGGUACAGGAUGGACCCGCGUCUGAUUAGCUAGUUGGUAAGGUAACGGCUUACCAAGGCGACGAUCAGUAGCCGACCUGAGAGGGUGAUCGGCCACAUUGGAACUGAGACACGGUCCAAACUCCUACGGGAGGCAGCAGUGGGGAAUAUUGCACAAUGGGCGAAAGCCUGAUGCAGCAACGCCGCGUGAGCGAUGAAGGCCUUCGGGUCGUAAAGCUCUGUCCUCAAGGAAGAUAAUGACGGUACUUGAGGAGGAAGCCCCGGCUAACUACGUG
RNAcentral lists this ribosomal RNA (469 nucleotides) under uncultured bacterium. Its description in RNAcentral is "bacterial SSU rRNA". It matches the Rfam family "Bacterial small subunit ribosomal RNA", at positions 11 to 507 of the family's 1533-position model. The record is from RNAcentral.